RNAcentral lists this ribosomal RNA (520 nucleotides) under uncultured Entrophospora. RNAcentral's name for it is "SSU rRNA". It matches the Rfam family "Eukaryotic small subunit ribosomal RNA", at positions 569 to 1083 of the family's 1831-position model. Lineage: Eukaryota; Fungi; Glomeromycota; Glomeromycetes; Entrophosporales; Entrophosporaceae. The record is from RNAcentral.
AGCAGCCGCGGUAAUUCCAGCUCCAAUAGCGUAUAUUAAAGUUGUUGCAGUUAAAAAGCUCGUAGUUGAAUUUCGGGAUUGGCGCAUCGGUCGUGCCUUACGGGGUAUGAACUGGUGCAGUCAAUUUCUCACCUUCUGGAGAACCGCGAUGUCCUUAAUUGGGUGCCGCGGGGAACCAGGACCUUUACUUUGAAAAAAUUAGAGUGUUUAAAGCAGGCAUUUUUGCUUGAAUACAUUAGCAUGGAAUAAUAAAAUAGGACGGCAUGGUUCUAUUUUGUUGGUUUCUAGGACCACCGUAAUGAUUAAUAGGGAUAGUUGGGGGCAUUAGUAUUCAAUUGUCAGAGGUGAAAUUCUUGGAUUUAUUGAAGACUAACUACUGCGAAAGCAUUUACCAAGGAUGUUUUCAUUAAUCAAGAACGAAAGUUAGGGGAUCGAAGACGAUCAGAUACCGUCGUAGUCUUAACCAUAAACUAUGCCGACUAGGAAUCAGACGAUGUUAAUUUUUAAUGUACUCGUUUGG